Molecule: ribosomal RNA, 2915 nt
Filed under: Salmonella enterica subsp. enterica serovar Adjame
Lineage: Bacteria; Pseudomonadati; Pseudomonadota; Gammaproteobacteria; Enterobacterales; Enterobacteriaceae
Description: 23S ribosomal RNA
Rfam family: Bacterial large subunit ribosomal RNA
Source: RNAcentral
GGGUUGUGAGGUUAAGCGACUAAGCGUACACGGUGGAUGCCCUGGCAGUCAGAGGCGAUGAAGGACGUGCUAAUCUGCGAUAAGCGCCGGUAAGGUGAUAUGAACCGUUAUAACCGGCGAUUUCCGAAUGGGGAAACCCAGUGUGACUCGUCACACUAUCAUUAACUGAAUCCAUAGGUUAAUGAGGCGAACCGGGGGAACUGAAACAUCUAAGUACCCCGAGGAAAAGAAAUCAACCGAGAUUCCCCCAGUAGCGGCGAGCGAACGGGGAGGAGCCCAGAGCCUGAAUCAGCAUGUGUGUUAGUGGAAGCGUCUGGAAAGGCGCGCGAUACAGGGUGACAGCCCCGUACACAAAAGCGCAUGUGCUGUGAGCUCGAUGAGUAGGGCGGGACACGUGGUAUCCUGUCUGAAUAUGGGGGGACCAUCCUCCAAGGCUAAAUACUCCUGACUGACCGAUAGUGAACCAGUACCGUGAGGGAAAGGCGAAAAGAACCCCGGCGAGGGGAGUGAAAAGAACCUGAAACCGUGUACGUACAAGCAGUGGGAGCACCCUUCGGGGUGUGACUGCGUACCUUUGUAUAAUGGGUCAGCGACUUAUAUUCUGUAGCAAGGUUAACCGUAUAGGGGAGCCGCAGGAAACCGAGUCUUAACCGGGCGUUAAGUUGCAGGGUAUAGACCCGAAACCCGGUGAUCUAGCCAUGGGCAGGUUGAAGGUUGGGUAACACUAACUGGAGGACCGAACCGACUAAUGUUGAAAAAUUAGCGGAUGACCUGUGGCUGGGGGUGAAAGGCCAAUCAAACCGGGAGAUAGCUGGUUCUCCCCGAAAGCUAUUUAGGUAGCGCCUCGUGAAUUCAUCUCCGGGGUAGAGCACUGUUUCGGCUAGGGGGCCAUCCCGGCUUACCAACCCGAUGCAAACUGCGAAUACCGGAGAAUGUUAUCACGGGAGACACACGGCGGGUGCUAACGUCCGUCGUGAAGAGGGAAACAACCCAGACCGCCAGCUAAGGUCCCAAAGUCAUGGUUAAGUGGGAAACGAUGUGGGAAGGCCCAGACAGCCGGAUGUUGGCUUAGAAGCAGCCAUCAUUUAAAGAAAGCGUAAUAGCUCACUGGUCGAGUCGGCCUGCGCGGAAGAUGUAACGGGGCUAAACCAUGCACCGAAGCUGCGGCAGCGACGCUUAUGCGUUGUUGGGUAGGGGAGCGUUCUGUAAGCCUGCGAAGGUGGCCUGUGAGGGUUGCUGGAGGUAUCAGAAGUGCGAAUGCUGACAUAAGUAACGAUAAAGCGGGUGAAAAGCCCGCUCGCCGGAAGACCAAGGGUUCCUGUCCAACGUUAAUCGGGGCAGGGUGAGUCGACCCCUAAGGCGAGGCCGAAAGGCGUAGUCGAUGGGAAACGGGUUAAUAUUCCCGUACUUGGUGUUACUGCGAAGGGGGGACGGAGAAGGCUAUGUUGGCCGGGCGACGGUUGUCCCGGUUUAAGCGUGUAGGUGUGUGUUCGGUAAAUCCGGUUCACUUUAACACUGAGGCGUGACGACGAGGCACUACGGUGCUGAAGCAACAAAUGCCCUGCUUCCAGGAAAAGCCUCUAAGCAUCAGGUAACAUCAAAUCGUACCCCAAACCGACACAGGUGGUCAGGUAGAGAAUACCAAGGCGCUUGAGAGAACUCGGGUGAAGGAACUAGGCAAAAUGGUGCCGUAACUUCGGGAGAAGGCACGCUGACACGUAGGUGAAGUGAUUUACUCAUGGAGCUGAAGUCAGUCGAAGAUACCAGCUGGCUGCAACUGUUUAUUAAAAACACAGCACUGUGCAAACACGAAAGUGGACGUAUACGGUGUGACGCCUGCCCGGUGCCGGAAGGUUAAUUGAUGGGGUCAGCGCAAGCGAAGCUCCUGAUCGAAGCCCCGGUAAACGGCGGCCGUAACUAUAACGGUCCUAAGGUAGCGAAAUUCCUUGUCGGGUAAGUUCCGACCUGCACGAAUGGCGUAAUGAUGGCGGGCUGUCUCCACCCGAGACUCAGUGAAAUUGAACUCGCUGUGAAGAUGCAGUGUACCCGCGGCAAGACGGAAAGACCCCGUGAACCUUUACUAUAGCUUGACACUGAACAUUGAGCCUUGAUGUGUAGGAUAGGUGGGAGGCUUUGAAGUGUGGACGCCAGUCUGCAUGGAGCCGACCUUGAAAUACCACCCUUUAAUGUUUGAUGUUCUAACGUGGACCCGUUACCCGGGUUGCGGACAGUGUCUGGUGGGUAGUUUGACUGGGGCGGUCUCCUCCUAAAGAGUAACGGAGGAGCACGAAGGUUGGCUAAUCCGGUCGGACAUCAGGAGGUUAGUGCAAUGGCAUAAGCCAGCUUGACUGCGAGCGUGACGGCGCGAGCAGGUGCGAAGCAGGUCAUAGUGAUCCGGUGGUUCUGAAUGGAAGGGCCAUCGCUCAACGGAUAAAAGGUACUCCGGGGAUAACAGGCUGAUACCGCCCAAGAGUUCAUAUCGACGGCGGUGUUUGGCACCUCGAUGUCGGCUCAUCACAUCCGGGGCUGAAGUAGGUCCCAAGGGUAUGGCUGUUCGCCAUUUAAAGUGGUACGCGAGCUGGGUUUAGAACGUCGUGAGACAGUUCGGUCCCUAUCUGCCGUGGGCGCUGGAGAACUGAGGGGGCUGCUCCUAGUACGAGAGGACCGGAGUGGACGCAUCACUGGUGUUCGGGUUGUCAUGCCAAUGGCACUGCCCGGUAGCUAAAUGCGGAAGAGAUAAGUGCUGAAAGCAUCUAAGCACGAAACUUGCCCCGAGAUGAGUUCUCCCUGAGACUUUAGGUCUCCUGAAGGAACGUUGAAGACGACGACGUUGAUAGGCCGGGUGUGUAAGCGCAGCGAUGCGUUGAGCUAACCGGUACUAAUGAACCGUGAGGCUUAACCUUACAACGCCGAAG